AACACUUCAUCAUGCAACUUUUGUUAAAAAGCCGAAACCCAUAACAAUGAGGAAUAUCACAAGUGAAGUAACUUUUCUUACUUCAACUUCAGAGACAACUUUAGUGAUCGAGAUAAAACUGUUUUGGUGAAACAUUUGUUAAAACAACUUCUUAUAGUAGAUAAAAACUAUAAAAUGUCCAUAUUUUUUGUUUUCUUUCUUUUUCUUUUGUUUCUCUUUUUUUAAUCCUUAUUUGCUAGCUUGGAGUCAUGAGGCCUCAUCCACUUGCAUCUGGGCCCUUCAACUUCGUCCGCCUAGAGCCUUGCCAAGGCGUCCACGAAGACUUUCGUCCGCCUAGAGCCUUUCCAAGGCGUCCACGAAGCCUUGACGGGUGGAUGGUCACAACAACUCGGCGGUCGUAGAGCCCUAGCAUGACCACAUUCCGGCAGUUCCACACGAUGAUGCCCCUAUAGCCUGAUAGCUCCAUGUGAUAGAGCCUUAGUAACCGCACGCCCUAACGACUUCAAAGCCUCGGCCACGUUGCUGUCUCCUUGCCCCGCGAUAUUUGCUGUCGCACAUCCUUGACUCGUUUUCUCAAACGUCGUCGUGUCUUGUCAGGUCACACCACUAUUUCCUGACCUCACCAUCGUCUCGGACCUCGUGCCAUCGUCGUUCAUACCUCAACAUCGUCGCACGGCUUGGACGCGGAGACAAGCCUGACUUCUUCUAGGCAGCUCCGCCCACGCCGCCAUCGCCUGGUCUCACCGCACCACCGUCUCCUCGC
RNAcentral lists this long non-coding RNA (763 nucleotides) under Sorghum bicolor (sorghum). RNAcentral's name for it is "long non-coding RNA (SBIC_LNC011677)". Lineage: Eukaryota; Viridiplantae; Streptophyta; Magnoliopsida; Poales; Poaceae. The record is from RNAcentral.